RNAcentral lists this ribosomal RNA (156 nucleotides) under Achroiostachys aurantispora. RNAcentral describes it as "5.8S ribosomal RNA". It matches the Rfam family "5.8S ribosomal RNA". From Rfam's summary of the family: 5.8S ribosomal RNA (5.8S rRNA) is a component of the large subunit of the eukaryotic ribosome. The record is from RNAcentral. Lineage: Eukaryota; Fungi; Ascomycota; Sordariomycetes; Hypocreales; Stachybotryaceae.
AAAACUUUCAACAACGGAUCUCUUGGCUCUGGCAUCGAUGAAGAACGCAGCGAAAUGCGAUAAGUAAUGUGAAUUGCAGAAUUCAGUGAAUCAUCGAAUCUUUGAACGCACAUUGCGCCCGCCAGCACUCUGGCGGGCAUGCCUGUCCGAGCGUCA